RNAcentral lists this ribosomal RNA (779 nucleotides) under uncultured Neocallimastigales. RNAcentral describes it as "partial large subunit ribosomal RNA". It matches the Rfam family "Eukaryotic large subunit ribosomal RNA", at positions 18 to 622 of the family's 3401-position model. The record is from RNAcentral. Lineage: Eukaryota; Fungi; Neocallimastigomycota; Neocallimastigomycetes; Neocallimastigales.
UCAGACGAUGCGUCAUGCAUAUCAAUAAGCGGAGGAAAAGAAAAUAACAAUGAUUUCCCUAGUAACGGCGAGUGAACAGGAAAGAGCUCAAAGUUGGAACCUGCUUGACUUAGUUAAGCCGGAUUGUAAACUGUAGAAACGUUUUCUAGGCAGGCCGAGUUAAAAAGUCCUUUGGAACAGGGCAUCAUAGAGGGUGAGAAUCCCGUCUUUGACUCGAGUAUUUUGUCUUUUUAUGAUACGUUUUCCAAGAGUCAGGUUGUUUGGGAAUGCAGCCUAAAUUGGGUGGUAAAUCUCACCUAAAGCUAAAUAUUGGCGAGAGACCGAUAGCGAACAAGUACCGUGAGGGAAAGAUGAGAAGAACUUUGAAAAGAGAGUUAAACAGUACGUGAAAUUGUCAAAAGGGAAGCGUUUGACACCAGUGUUGUUUUCUCGAAAAUCAAUUAAAAAGAGUUAGAUUUUGUUGUGUAUUGACCUUAACAGCUUGCAUUUCAAUUUUCUUGCUUUUUUUAAUGCACUUUUCGUUUAACAAGUCAACAUCAGUUUCUUUUGUUGUAAAAAGGUCAUUGGAAGGUGGCUUUCUUUUCGGAGAAAGUGUUUAUAAGCCUUUGACUCCUGCAAUCGGAGAGACUGAGGUCUGCAGCGUAGAUCCUUCGGGGUUAGAUACAUUUGUGCUAAGUUAUAGCUUUUUAUAGACAACUUGUUGACUAUGAUUAGUCUUGUAGCUUACUCGCUUAUGCUAUUUUACCUACGCUUAGGAUGUUGAGUCGUAGAGCACGCAG